AACGACUCUCGGCAACGGAUAUCUCGGCUCACGCAUCGAUGAAGAACGUAGCAAAAUGCGAUACUUGGUGUGAAUUGCAGAAUCCCGUGAACCAUCGAGUUUUUGAACGCAAGUUGCGCCCGAAGCCAUUYGGCUGAGGGCACGUCUGCCUGGGCGUCACGCAU
Molecule: ribosomal RNA, 164 nt
Filed under: Volutaria boranensis
Lineage: Eukaryota; Viridiplantae; Streptophyta; Magnoliopsida; Asterales; Asteraceae
Description: 5.8S ribosomal RNA
Rfam family: 5.8S ribosomal RNA
About the family: 5.8S ribosomal RNA (5.8S rRNA) is a component of the large subunit of the eukaryotic ribosome. It is transcribed by RNA polymerase I as part of the 45S precursor that also contains 18S and 28S rRNA.
Source: RNAcentral